AGCUUCGUGGUCGAGUGGUAAGGAUACUUGCCUCUCACAAUGGAGUCCCGGUUUCGAUCCCCGGUCGAGGAGCUA
Molecule: non-coding RNA, 75 nt
Organism: Rhamnusium bicolor
Lineage: Eukaryota; Metazoa; Arthropoda; Insecta; Coleoptera; Cerambycidae
Source: the annotation of a GenBank genome assembly